This 696-nucleotide ribosomal RNA is filed under the name uncultured bacterium. Its description in RNAcentral is "bacterial SSU rRNA". It matches the Rfam family "Bacterial small subunit ribosomal RNA", at positions 32 to 715 of the family's 1533-position model. The record is from RNAcentral.
AACGCUAGCUACAGGCUUAACACAUGCAAGUCGAGGGGCAGCAUGGUCUUAGCUUGCUAAGGCUGAUGGCGACCGGCGCACGGGUGAGUAACACGUAUCCAACCUGCCGUCUACUCUUGGCCAGCCUUCUGAAAGGAAGAUUAAUCCAGGAUGGCAUCAUGAGUUCACAUGUCCGCAUGAUUAAAGGUAUUUUCCGGUAGACGAUGGGGAUGCGUUCCAUUAGAUAGUAGGCGGGGUAACGGCCCACCUAGUCAACGAUGGAUAGGGGUUCUGAGAGGAAGGUCCCCCACAUUGGAACUGAGACACGGUCCAAACUCCUACGGGAGGCAGCAGUGAGGAAUAUUGGUCAAUGGGCGAUGGCCUGAACCAGCCAAGUAGCGUGAAGGAUGACUGCCCUAUGGGUUGUAAACUUCUUUUAUAAAGGAAUAAAGUCGGGUAUGCAUACCCGUUUGCAUGUACUUUAUGAAUAAGGAUCGGCUAACUCCGUGCCAGCAGCCGCGGUAAUACGGAGGAUCCGAGCGUUAUCCGGAUUUAUUGGGUUUAAAGGGAGCGUAGAUGGAUGUUUAAGUCAGUUGUGAAAGUUUGCGGCUCAACCGUAAAAUUGCAGUCGAUACUGGAUGUCUUGAGUGCAGUUGAGGCAGGCGGAAUUCGUGGUGUAGCGGUGAAAUGCUUAGAUAUCACGAAGAACUCCGAUUG